AGCAGCCGCGGUAAUUCCAGCUCCAAUAGCGUAUAUUAAAGUUGUUGCAGUUAAAAAGCUCGUAGUUGAAUUUCGGGAUUAGUACGCUGGUCGUGCCUUUGGUAUGUACUGGUGUUACUGAUUCCUACCUUCUGACGAACCGUCAUGUCAUUAAUUUGGUGUGGCGGGAAAUCAGGACUGUUACUUUGAAAAAAUUAGAGUGUUUAAAGCAGGCUCGCGCUUGAAUACAUUAGCAUGGAAUAAUGAAAUAGGACGUUCGAUCCUAUUUUGUUGGUUUCUAGGAUUGACGUAAUGAUUAAUAGGGAUAGUUGGGGGCAUUAGUAUUCAAUUGUCAGAGGUGAAAUUCUUGGAUUUAUUGAAGCUAACUACUGCGAAAGCAUUUGUCCAAGGAUGUUUUCAUUAAAUCAAGAACGAAAGUUAGGGGAUCGAAGACGAUCAGAUACCGUCGUAGUCUUAACCAUAAACUAUGCCGACUAGGGAUCGGAUGAUGUUAAUUUUUAAUGACUCAUUCGCGCCCUAC
RNAcentral lists this ribosomal RNA (520 nucleotides) under uncultured Glomus. RNAcentral's name for it is "SSU rRNA". It matches the Rfam family "Eukaryotic small subunit ribosomal RNA", at positions 569 to 1090 of the family's 1831-position model. Lineage: Eukaryota; Fungi; Glomeromycota; Glomeromycetes; Glomerales; Glomeraceae. The record is from RNAcentral.